Non-coding RNA from Podarcis lilfordi (Lilford's wall lizard), 72 nucleotides. NCBI's taxonomy places the organism in Eukaryota, Metazoa, Chordata, Lepidosauria, Squamata, Lacertidae. The record is from the annotation of a GenBank genome assembly.
GGAGUCCUCAGUGGCACAAUGAGUCUGGCUUUUAACCAUAAGGUCGGUGGUUUGAGCCCACCCAGGAUUCCU